AGAGUUUGAUCAUGGCUCAGAAUCAACGCUGGCGGCGCGCUUAACACAUGCAAGUCGCACGAGAAAGGGGAGCAAUCCCUGAGUACAGUGGCGUACGGGUGAGUAACACGUGGAUUAUCUACCUUCUAGUGGGGAAUACCUCUGGGAAACCGGAGACAAUACCGCAUAAGCUCGUGAGAGGAAAGCAGCAAUGCGCUGGAAGAGGAGUCCGCGGCUGAUUAGCUAGUUGGCGGGGUAAUGGCCCACCAAGGCGAAGAUCGGUAGCCGGCCUGAGAGGGCACACGGCCACACUGGCACUGAAACACGGGCCAGACUCCUACGGGAGGCAGCAGUGGGGAAUCUUGCACAAUGGAGGCAACUCUGAUGCAGCGACGCCGCGUGAGCGAUGAAGCCCUUCGGGGUGUAAAGCUCUUUCGACGGGAACGAUAAUGACGGUACCCGAAGAAGAAGCUGCGGCUAACUACGUGCCAGCAGCCGCGGUAAUACGUAGGCAGCGAGCGUUGUUCGGAAUUACUGGGCGUAAAGAGUGUGUAGGCGGUGCUCUAAGUCUGUUGUGAAAUCUCCCGGCUCAACUGGGAGGGUGCGGCGGAAACUGGAGUGCUCGAGUGUGGGAGAGGUAAGCGGAAUUCCUGGUGUAGCGGUGAAAUGCGUAGAUAUCAGGAGGAACACCUGUGGUGUAGACAGCUUACUGGACCACGACUGACGCUGAGACACGAAAGCGUGGGUAGCAAACAGGAUUAGAUACCCCCGUAGUCC
RNAcentral lists this ribosomal RNA (756 nucleotides) under uncultured bacterium. Its description in RNAcentral is "bacterial SSU rRNA". It matches the Rfam family "Bacterial small subunit ribosomal RNA", at positions 8 to 796 of the family's 1533-position model. The record is from RNAcentral.